CAACUGUUGGACCCAGUUAUCCCAUUCCUUGGUAUAUACCCAUGUUAAAAUCAGCAUACAACAGUGACACAAUGUUUAUAGCAGCUCCAUUCACAAUAGCUAAACUAUGGAAGCAACCUAGAUGCCCAUAAACAGGUGACUGGAUUUAAGAAAAUGUGGCAUAUUAUAAACAAUGAAAUAUUAUUCAGAUAUUUUGCCAUUCACCAGUAAGUUUAUGGAUUUAAUGACUAAUGCUAAGUGAAUUAAGCCAAUCACUCAAACCAAAAGCCAAAUAAAUGUUCUCUCUGAUAUGUGGAUGCUAACACACAAUAAGAGAGUUGUGUAGGGAAGAAUAGAUAAACCCCUAUCUCUCACCAUGCACAAAACUCAACUCAAAGUGGAUCAAGGACCUAGGAACCAGAGACCCUGCCUCUAAUAGAAGAAAAAGUUGGCCCCAAUCUCUGUCAUAUCGGAUUAGGCCCCUACUUCCUUAAGAAGUCUCCUGUAGCACAAGAAUUAAAAUCAAGAAUUAAUAAAUGGGAUGGAUUCAAAAUAAAAAGCUUCUUCUCAGCGAAAGAAACAAUCAUUGAGGUGAAUAGAGAGCCUACAGCUUGGGAGCAAAUUUUUACCAGUUGCACAUCAGAUAGAGCAUUAAUGUCUAGGGUAAAUGAAGAACUCAAAAAGCUAAACACCAAAAUAACAAAUAACCCAAUCAAUAAAUGGGCCAAGGAACUGAACAGGCACUUCUUAGAAGGUGAUAUACAAUCAAUUAACAAAUAUACGAAAAAAUGUUCAACAUCUCCAGCAAUUAGAGAAAUGCAAAUCAAAACUACUCUAAGAUUUCAUCUUAUUUUAGUUAGAAUGGC
RNAcentral lists this long non-coding RNA (845 nucleotides) under Marmota monax (woodchuck). Lineage: Eukaryota; Metazoa; Chordata; Mammalia; Rodentia; Sciuridae. The record is from RNAcentral.